GAAAUGCGAUAAGUAGUGUGAAUUGCAGAAUUCAGUGAAUCAUCGAAUCUUUGAACGCACAUUGCGCUCCCUGGUAUUCCGGGGAGCAUGCCCGUUUCAGAAUCAUUAAAAUAUCUCACCAGCUGUUGGGUGUUUCGACGCUCGGCGGCGGGUGGAUGUUGGACUGUUUGCCCCUGGCGGGGCAAUCGUCUAAAAAUGAUGGUGCGUGCUGCAGCUUUCGUCAGCCGGCAGUCAAAGUGCAACAGAUGUCUAUUGACUUUGUGCUGUCUGAUUGGCAUUGUGACGUACGUACUCCCGACCACCUACGGUUGGGGUUGCGGAUGCAGCCACAACUGGUAACUUGGUCUGAAAUCGGGCAAGAAAACCCGCUGAACUUAAGC
RNAcentral lists this unclassified non-coding RNA (380 nucleotides) under plant metagenome. RNAcentral's name for it is "partial contains 5.8S ribosomal RNA, internal transcribed spacer 2, and large subunit ribosomal RNA". The stretch from base 1 to 105 matches the Rfam family "5.8S ribosomal RNA", at positions 50 to 154 of the family's 154-position model. The record is from RNAcentral.